Molecule: ribosomal RNA, 754 nt
Filed under: uncultured archaeon
Lineage: Archaea
Description: bacterial SSU rRNA
Rfam family: Archaeal small subunit ribosomal RNA
Source: RNAcentral
AGAGAGAAUCUCGGGAAUUGAGGAUAAUACUCCAUAGACCAUGGGAUCUGGAAUGACCCAUGGUUGAAAGUUCCGGCGCUUAAGGAUCGGUCUGCGGCCUAUCAGGUUGUAGUGGGUGUAACGUACCUACUAGCCUAUGACGGGUAUGGGCCUUGAGAGAGGGAGCCCAGAGUUGGAUUCUGAGACACGAAUCCAGGCCCUACGGGGCGCAGCAGUCGCGAAAACUUCACAAUGGGGGCAACCCCGAUGAGGGAAUUCCUAGUGCUAGCACAUUUGUGUUAGCUUUUCUUUAGCGUAGAUAACUAGAGGAAUAAGGGCUGGGUAAGACGGGUGCCAGCCGCCGCGGUAAUACCUGCAGCCCAAGUGGUGGUCGAUUUUAUUGAGUCUAAAACGUUCGUAGCCGGUUCGAUAAAUCUUUGGGUAAAUCGGGGGGCUUAACCUUCCGACUUCCGAGGAGACUGUCGAACUUGGGACCGGGAGAGGCUAGAGGUACUUCUGGGGUAGGGGUAAAAUCCUGUAAUCCUAGAAGGACCACCGGUGGCGAAGGCGUCUAGCUAGAACGGAUCCGACGGUGAGGGACGAAGCCCUGGGUCGCAAACGGGAUUAGAUACCCCGGUAGUCCAGGGUGUAAACGCUGCAGACUUGGUGUUGGAGGCCCUUUGGGGGCAUUCAGUGCCGGAGAGAAGUUGUUAAGUCUGCUACUUGGGGAGUACGUCCGCAAGGAUGAAACUUAAAGGAAUUGGCGGGGGAGCAC